This is a long non-coding RNA of Eurytemora carolleeae, 210 nucleotides long. RefSeq lists it as uncharacterized. The record is from RefSeq and is a predicted model, not a curated record. Lineage: Eukaryota; Metazoa; Arthropoda; Copepoda; Calanoida; Temoridae. The transcript is spliced from 2 exons.
AAAAAUUAACAAAUAUUUCAGAUAAUUAUAAAAUAAAUAUGGUAGAGGAGUCGGCUAGUGUUCUUACACCUCCGGGGAAAAAGAUGAAACAAGCCAGACUUCCCUUCGCUCCAGUUAACAAACAGUCAAGUGAAGGUGAAGAAGUGCAAAGGAAGAGAAAACUCUCAGAUGCUGCAGCCGCUACUCCGGAACCAAAGGAACAAAAAAAAA